UACAGAGGUCUCAAGCGUUUGUUCGGAUUCAUUGGGCGUAAAGGGUGCGUAGGCGGCGCGGUAAGUCGGGUGUGAAAUCUCGGGGCUUAACUCCGAAACUGCAUUCGAUACUGCCGUGCUUGAGGACUGGAGAGGAGACUGGAAUUUACGGUGUAGCGGUGAAAAUGCGUAGAUAUCGUAAGGAAGACCAGUGGCGAAGGCGGGUCUCUGGACAGUUCCUGACGCUGAGGCACGAAGGCCAGGGGAGCAAACGGG
This 255-nucleotide ribosomal RNA is filed under the name uncultured bacterium. Its description in RNAcentral is "partial 16S ribosomal RNA". It matches the Rfam family "Bacterial small subunit ribosomal RNA", at positions 524 to 776 of the family's 1533-position model. The record is from RNAcentral.